Theobroma umbraticum is the source of this 2814-nucleotide RNA transcript. It is a transcript of the gene named SU(VAR)3-9 homolog 1, with no coding region annotated. NCBI's taxonomy places the organism in Eukaryota, Viridiplantae, Streptophyta, Magnoliopsida, Malvales, Malvaceae. The record is from RefSeq and is a predicted model, not a curated record.
CACUCCCAAAUACCCUAAAAAGGAACAAAAAAAAAUAAAAUAAAAGGAAAACUGAGAGCAAAGCUGCAUGUCUUUUUCUCUCUCACGGUAAGUUUUCUCUUCUUCCCAUUCAUGCUCUUCGCCUUUCCCAACAGGUAGGCAUCUCUUUUCUAUGUUUUCUUUUAGAAUGAUAAAAAUUUCUUCCUUUUCAUUUCUGUUCAAGAGAGAACCCUAGAUCUCUAUGUCUCGACUACCUCGUUUUGUUUCUGUUUAUUUCUUCGAUUUGGGUUGUUGCUUUUUUUUGCAUUACAAAGUCUAAGGAUGGAGAAAAGUUAAAUGGGUAUCUCUUGGUUUUAAAGAAAAAUGGAUUUUUUUUAUUAGAAGGCUUGAUUUUUGUGUAAUUUUGUUUGGCAUAGGGCAUAAGAAAGUCAAGGAUGGAGAAAAAUGAAGUGGGUAUUUCCUGGUUUUGAAGGAGGAGGUAAAUUUUGGUUCAAAGGCCUGAAUUUUGUGAACAUAGGAACUUGGUUUUGUGCGUCACCGAGUUAAGGAUAGUGAAAACUGAAGUGGGCAUUUGUUUUCAAAUCAAAAGUAAAAAACUUUGGUUGAAAGGCUUGAUUUUUGUUUGUAAUGGAAGGAGGGUUGGGUGGAAACUCUGUUCCUCUAAAUUCAUUUGAUAAGUCUAAAGUUUUGGAUGUAAAACCACUACGUACCUUAGUUCCUCUAUUCCCAGACGCGUCUGAGGGUUCCCCUUUUGUUUGUGUACCUCCUAAUGGCCCUUUCCCAUCUGGGUUUUCGCCAUUUUUUCCAUUUAGUGGACCACAAGGAUCUCAAUCUACUCCUGACCUUAACCAAAAUGACUUCAAUGCAACUGCUGUGCCCAUUCGGUCAUUUAGAGCAGAACCACCAGCUUCUAAUGGCCAAAAUAUGCCACCAAUGGAUACAUUUGGCAGUCAUAAGCACAAAUCGGCUGGGGCAAGUUCUGUUAAAAGGAAGGCGAAGAGGCACAAAGAUUUGGAGUUUGCAAUAACUGCCCUUAGUGAUUUCAAUCCUGGGAUUAGUUUAUCUGAACGAGAUGAUGGUAACAGGGAAUUGGUUGAAAAUGUGCUUUUGAGGUUUGAUGCACUUAGGAGAAGGCUUAGCCAGAUGGAGGACGCGAAGGAAUUACAUUCUGGGAUUAUUAAGCGUGCAGAUUUGAAAGCUGGCAACAUAAUGAUGAGCAAAGGGGUGCGGACUAACAUGAAAAAGAGAAUUGGGGUUGUUCCUGGUGUUGAAAUUGGAGACAUUUUCUUCUUUCGAAUGGAGUUGUGUGUGGUGGGGUUGCAUUCUCAGUCCAUGGCUGGAAUUGACUACAUGGUUGUCAAGGGUGAUUCAGAGGGAGAGCCAGUUGCUUUAAGCAUUGUGUCUUCUGGAGGGUAUGAUGAUGAUGCAGAAGAUCCUGAUGUUUUGGUAUAUAGUGGUCAAGGUGGGAAUGCCAAUAAAGAUAAAGAAGCAUCUGAUCAGAAGCUUGAGAGGGGUAAUCUCGCUUUAGAAAAGAGCUUGCACCGAGCCAAUGAAGUAAGAGUCAUUCGGGGUCUGAAGGAUGCUGUCCAUCAAACGUCUAAGGUCUAUGUGUAUGAUGGGCUUUUCAAAAUCCAAGAGUCAUGGACGGAGAAGGGGAAAUCAGGUUGCAAUAUGUUCAAGUAUAAAUUGGUGAGGGUCCCUGGGCAGACAAGUGCUUUUUCCAUUUGGAAAUCCAUUCAGAAGUGGAAAGAAGGUUUGUCUUUAAGGGUUGGACUUAUUCUUCCUGACCUCACUUCAGGUGCAGAAAGCACACCUGUUUCACUUGUAAAUGAGGUUGAUGAUGAAAAGGGGCCCGCUCACUUCACAUAUAACCCUACUGUCAAGUAUUCGAAAUCAUUCAAAUUAGUCCAACCUUCAUUUGGCUGCAAAUGCCGUGAUGCGUGCCAAGCAGGAAAUUCUAACUGCUCCUGCAAUAAAAAAAAUGGAGGUGAUUUCCCUUACACUGCCAAUGGGAUUUUAGUGUGUCGGAAACCCUUGAUAUAUGAAUGUGGUCCCUCGUGCCCAUGCUUCCGUAACUGCAAAAACAAAGUUUCACAGACUGGUUUUAAAGUUCACUUAGAAGUUUUUAAGACAAGAGAUAGGGGUUGGGGUCUUCGGUCAUGGGAUCCUGUUCGUGCAGGUACAUUUAUUUGUGAAUAUGCCGGUGAAGUUAUUGAUGAAAUUAAGGCAAGGCAGGAUGGGGGAGAUGGUGAAAAAAAUGAGUAUGUUUUUCACACAAACCGUCUCUAUGAAUCCUUCAAGUGGAAUUAUGAAACUGGGUUAGUAGGGGAGGAAAGUUCUGAUCCCACUGAAGAUUUUGAUUUUCCAUCUCCCCUAAUCAUAAGUGCAAAGAACAGUGGAAAUGUAGCUCGAUUUAUGAAUCACAGUUGCUCUCCAAAUGUUUUCUGGCAGCCAAUCAUGUAUGAACAUAACAAUGAAGCUUUUCUCCAUAUUGCUUUCUUUGCAAAGAGACACAUUCCUCCUAUGACAGAAUUGACAUAUGAUUAUGGUACUCCACACUCAGAUGAGACUCGAAGUAAGGCAGCACAUGAGAAAAAGAAAUGCUUAUGUGGAUCACGAAAAUGCCGAGGUUGUUUUUAUUGAGGUGUAGGUUGCAUACCUGUAUUCUGUACACAAGCUAAAUUUUUGGCUUUUUGAAAAAGAUUGUACUUAUGCUGUCGCUGUGGUAACAUGCAGAAGAACUGACAAUGUAUGAAAACAAUGUGUGCUGAUGUUUUUUGUAGUCUACAUUGCAGGAAGUCAAUUUAUGGUUCAGUUACUUCAGAUUUGCCAGAA